Molecule: ribosomal RNA, 484 nt
Filed under: uncultured bacterium
Lineage: Bacteria
Description: partial 16S ribosomal RNA
Rfam family: Bacterial small subunit ribosomal RNA
Source: RNAcentral
AUUGAACGCUGGCGGCAGGCCUAACACAUGCAAGUCGAGCGGACGAAGGGAGCUUGUUCCUGUAUUCAGCGACGGACGGGUGAGUAAUUCCUACGAAUCUGCCCUGCAUAUGGGGCUAACGUAAGUUAACGAGCCCUAAUACCAUAUAGGACCAGAUAUAGAAACGGGUGGAUCUAUGGACCUCACCCUAUUAGAUGACCCUUGGCCGUAUUAGCUAGUUGGUUGGGUAACGGCUUACCAAGGCGACGAUCCGUAGCUGGUCUGAGAGGAUGAUCAGCCACACUGGAACUGAGACACGGUCCAGACUCCUACGGGAGGCAGCAGUAGGGAAUCUUCCGCAAUGGGCGAAAGCCUGACGCAGCAAUGCCGCGUGUGUGAUGAAGGUCUUCGGAUCGUAAAGCUCUGUUAGUUGGGAAGAACAAAUGUAUGAGUAUCUCUGCCCGUCUUGACGUUACCAACACAGUAAGCCCCGGCUAACUUCGUG